This 244-nucleotide ribosomal RNA is filed under the name uncultured bacterium. Its description in RNAcentral is "partial 16S ribosomal RNA". It matches the Rfam family "Bacterial small subunit ribosomal RNA", at positions 246 to 504 of the family's 1533-position model. The record is from RNAcentral.
UAGUUGGUGAGGUAACGGCCCACCAAGUCGACGAUGGGUAGCCGACCUCAGAGGGUGAUCGGCCACAUUGGAACUGAGAAACGGUCCAGACUCCUACGGGAGGCAGCAGUGGGGAAUAUUGGGCAAUGGAGGCAACUCUGACCCAGCAACGCCGCGUGAAUGAUGAAGGUCUUCGGAUUGUAAAGUUCUGUGACGGGGGACGAACACAAUGACGGUACCCCGAUAGCAAGCCACGGCUAACUAC